GCUCUUCGGUUGCAGCAAUGUAGCCGAGUGGGAGCGGCGCAAGGGUGCGUAACACGUGGGUAAUUUGCCAAAAAGUUUGGGAUAACUCGCUGAAAGGCGAGCUAAUACCGGAUGUGAUCAUCGGGCGGCAUCGUUUGAUGAUUAAAGUUGGGGACCGUAAGGCCUGACGCUUUUUGAUAAGCCCGCGGCCUAUCAGCUAGUUGGUGAGGUAACGGCUCACCAAGGCUAAGACGGGUAGCUGGUCUGAGAGGACGACCAGCCACACUGGAACUGAGACACGGUCCAGACACCUACGGGUGGCAGCAGUCGAGAAUUUUUCACAAUGGGCGAAAGCCUGAUGGAGCGACGCCGCGUGGGGGAUGAAUGGCUUCGGCCCGUAAACCCCUGUCAUUUGCGAACAAACCUUGCUAUUUAAAAGAUGGCGAGCUGAUUGUAGCGAAAGAGGAAGGGACGGCUAACUCUGUGCCAGCAGCCGCGGUAAUACAGAGGUCCCAAGCGUUGUUCGGAUUCACUGGGCGUAAAGGGUGCGUAGGUGGUGAGGUAAGUCGGAUGUGAAAGCUCCGAGCUCAACUCGGAAAUGGCAUUGGAAACUACCUUGCUCGAGGGUUUGAGG
This 613-nucleotide ribosomal RNA is filed under the name uncultured bacterium. RNAcentral's name for it is "bacterial SSU rRNA". It matches the Rfam family "Bacterial small subunit ribosomal RNA", at positions 66 to 655 of the family's 1533-position model. The record is from RNAcentral.